UACGGAGGAUGCGAGCGUUAUCCGGAUUUAUUGGGUUUAAAGGGAGCGCAGACGGGUCGUUAAGUCAGCUGUGAAAGUUUGGGGCUCAACCUUAAAAUUGCAGUUGAUACUGGUGUCCUUGAGUGCGGUUGAGGUGUGCGGAAUUCGUGGUGUAGCGGUGAAAUGCUUAGAUAUCACGAAGAACUCCGAUUGCGAAGGCAGCACACUAAGCCGUAACUGACGUUCAUGCUCGAAAGUGUGGGUAUCAAACAGG
RNAcentral lists this ribosomal RNA (253 nucleotides) under Phocaeicola plebeius DSM 17135. RNAcentral describes it as "partial 16S ribosomal RNA". It matches the Rfam family "Bacterial small subunit ribosomal RNA", at positions 524 to 776 of the family's 1533-position model. Lineage: Bacteria; Pseudomonadati; Bacteroidota; Bacteroidia; Bacteroidales; Bacteroidaceae. The record is from RNAcentral.